GUCCUUUUGAAUAUUUAUUUAAGGUCUGACCUGCCCUAUGAUUAUUUAAAUGGCCGCGGUAUUCUAACCGUGCAAAGGUAGCAUAAUCAUUUGUCUUUUAAUUGGAGGCUGGAAUGAAUGGUUGGACGAGGAAUAGACUUUCUUAUUUGCAUUAAGCUGAAUUUUAUUUUUAAGUUAAAAAGCUUAAAUUUUUUUAUAGGACGAGAAGACCCUAUAGAAUUUUAUAUUUAUUAGUUUACUCUUUUUUUAGUUGAUUUAUUUUGAGUAUAUUAUAUUUAUUUUGUUGGGGUGACAGGAAAAUUUAUUUAACUUUUUUUUUUUAAUUUCAUUUAUUUAUGUUUUUAUGAUCCGUAUUUUACGAUUAAAAGAUCAAAUUACCUUAGGGAUAACAGCGUUAUUCUUUUGGAGAGUUCUUAUCGAUAAAGGAGUUUGCGA
Molecule: ribosomal RNA, 435 nt
Filed under: Austronepa angusta
Lineage: Eukaryota; Metazoa; Arthropoda; Insecta; Hemiptera; Nepidae
Description: partial 16S ribosomal RNA
Rfam family: Bacterial large subunit ribosomal RNA
Source: RNAcentral